CUGACCUACGGGACGCAGCAGUGGGGGAUAUUGCACAAUGGGGGGAACCCUGAUGCAGCGACGCCGCGUGGGUGAAGAAGCGCCUCGGCGCGUAAAGCCCUGUCAGCAGGGAAGAAAAUGACGGUACCUGAAGAAGAAGCCCCGGCUAACUACGUGCCAGCAGCCGCGGUAAUACGUAGGGGGCAAGGGUUAUCCGGAUUGAGUGGGGGUAAUGGGGGCGCAGACGGCGAUGAAAGGGAGGAGUGAAGGCGC
Molecule: ribosomal RNA, 252 nt
Filed under: uncultured bacterium
Lineage: Bacteria
Description: partial 16S ribosomal RNA
Rfam family: Bacterial small subunit ribosomal RNA
Source: RNAcentral